CAAUACAGAAACACAACACAGUUCAUUAAAAAUACUGGAAAUAUUGAUUUUGGUCAGUCACUAUUAGUUUAUAUUUCAACUGUUUAAGUUGGUACAUGUUGGGCUUGUGUCCAAACUCAGUUUUCUCAACCGGGCCAAAGCUUUCAUACAAGUGGCUGUCUGCAGAAUAAUUUAUAUUUACAUUUCCUCCAUGCCAGGUUAAGCUGUUAAACUGUAGAAAAAAAACACUUUAUUUGUUAAGUGUAGGGAUCAUACUCAAUGUAUGUAGAGUUGUUAAGUAUAAACUUUCAUCCGUUUUUUUAUCUUUGGUUGUUCCCCACUUCCUGUCCCCCUGGCGAGUCAUCAAAAUGCAAAGAACAGAGAUUUAAAACGGAAUAACUCUGAGGAUUACAAGACAUGAGACCAUCAUCUUAAUGGAAAAAUAAGUUACAUUACACACAAAAAUGUAGACUAUUUUGGCACUAAAGACACAAGCUUUUUAUCUAUUAGUAUUUUUUUGGGGGGGGGCAUCACAUUUAAUAUCAGUUUUCAGUGAAAUUGUACCAUUAAUUUCGAUCCUCAGCCCUUGUCAUAGAAAUCUACGAGCUGUUGUUGCUAAACGUUUUAACUGUGAGACGGUGAUGACGUCAUUUCCCACGGCCGGAGUAGUGUCCAAUAUCAUUUUUGUAUUUUGCAGUUGAGUCCACUAAAUAGUCGACUAUAUGCAGCACACUAUAUAGUGGAUAGGGAGUAGGGAAUGAGUGAGUGGUUUCUGACACAGGCAUUAUAGCCAUAGGCGCAUUAACGCAUGGGCUACCUCAGUCUGCAGCCCAGGACCUCACACCUGGAGGGUCCUCUACUAAAAUUCCUCGAUGCUUGGGUUUCUGGUUAGUCAGCCUUUUCAUUUAGCAGAAGCAGAGUUAACUAAAGGAAAAAUGAAGCGUUCACAUCCCAGUGGUGCUCAGAAAACAAAACAAAUAAAAAAGAGUUAAUUCUAUAUUGAAAUUCUGCCAAAAGCCACAGACUUUCUUUCUCAAAAUGCUGGCUUUUCAACUGUAUUAAAGGGCAGCAUUUCUUUUGCAAACUACACUUUCUGUGAGCGCACACCAUUUUGCGCUGUUCUGUUUGUAUUUACUUUGUCGGCCAAACGCCUCAGUGAGUGCUGAGUGUCAGGACGAAGGCUCUGCAUCUCGAGGUGCAGUUUCUUCCCCAGCUGGUCAAGCUGGGUCAGGUGGUUAUGUUUUGGUUGGGAAUGCAAGUUUGUUGUGUUGCCUUUUUUUUGUUGCCACCACUUUUAAACAGAUUUUGCAUACUGGUUCGUCUGUGUUGAUGGGCUCAGCUUGCUCAUUCGGUUUGAAGCCGAAAAAUUCCCACACCAGGGCCGUGGCAUUUGGCUUUGCAAUCAUCUGUUUUAAUCCUAAUUUCUACCACGUUACCUUGCGUUGCUUCUUACGAGGCUCACUUCCUGCACUCUGUGUGUGUAUGCUAGCGGCCCCGCCUCCCCCCACAGAGACAAAGAGACUGGAUGUCUGACCACAGGGUUCACUCCGUUCAUUCUAUGGAACAAACGCGCCCAGGUGCUGAGACCGAUGCACAGAGUGAACCCUCUUGUCAUCCAGCCUGUUUGGAGGCGAGAGACGAGGAAAACAAACAUGCAUGCACAUGGCAAUAUAUCAAGGCUGGCAAAAUUAUUUAGUUCAUUUUCAUCUAUCAUGCAACUAAUUAAUUUAUUGAUUAUUGUCCCAGGCAUUGUGUCACAUACAUUUCUUUAUAUUUAUGUCACAUCUCCAGGUUGACCUAGUUAAGUUACUUUUUCCCUCAUGUUUCUAGUCUGUCAUUUCCUGUUUUAUUUUGGAUACUUACCUUGUGUCUCUUUUCCAGAUCACUCCUUCCUGCCCAUCCCUACCUGUUUCCCUGUGUCCUGAUCAUCCUCAUGUGUCUCACCUGUGUUGAUUGUCGAGUGACUGCACCUGGUGAUCCCCGGCUGAGUGUUCCCCUCCUCGUGUAUUUAGCUCAUUCACUCCCUGUCUGCUGUGCGAGAUCGUCUUGUUUCCUUUGUGUCCAAUUCCUUCGAGCCUUACUUCUGAUUGACCUUCGUGAUUUAUUUGACCCAGUUUCCCGUCCUAGUUUCCGAGUUAGCCUGCCGUUUUUUGUACCUCUGCCUGCUUGUUUUGACCUCCCGUGUAUCGAACCUUUUUCCUGAUUAAACGGACUUGAAAGUGCUUGA
This is a long non-coding RNA of Cheilinus undulatus (humphead wrasse), 2206 nucleotides long. RefSeq lists it as uncharacterized. The transcript is spliced from 2 exons. Lineage: Eukaryota; Metazoa; Chordata; Actinopteri; Labriformes; Labridae. The record is from RefSeq and is a predicted model, not a curated record.